AGUGAACGCUGGCGGUAGGCCUAACACAUGCAAGUCGAACGGCAGCACAGUAAGAGCUUGCUCUUACGGGUGGCGAGUGGCGGACGGGUGAGGAAUACAUCGGAAUCUACUUUUUCGUGGGGGACAACGUAGGGAAACUUACGCUAAUACCGCAUACGUCCUACGGGUGAAAGCAGAGGAUCUUGAGACCCUGCGCGUUUCAAUGAGCCGAUGUCGGAUUAGCUAGUUGGCUGGGUAAAGGCCCACCAAGGCGACGAUCCGUAGCUGGUCUGAGAGGAUGAUCAGCCACACUGGAACUGAGACACGGUCCAGACUCCUACGGGAGGCAGCAGUGGGGAAUAUUGGACAAUGGGCGCAAGCCUGAUCCAGCCAUACCGCGUGGGUGAUGAAGGCCUUCGGGUUGUAAAGCCCUUUUGUUGGGAAAGAAAAGCAGCAGGUUAAUACCCCGCUGUUCUGACGGUACCCAAAGAAUAAGCACCGGCUAACUUCGUG
RNAcentral lists this ribosomal RNA (492 nucleotides) under uncultured bacterium. RNAcentral describes it as "partial 16S ribosomal RNA". It matches the Rfam family "Bacterial small subunit ribosomal RNA", at positions 29 to 507 of the family's 1533-position model. The record is from RNAcentral.